GAUGAAGAACGCAGCGAAAUGCGAUACGUAAUGUGAAUUGCAGAAUUCAGUGAAUCAUCGAAUCUUUGAACGCACAUUGCGCCUGCCAGCACUCUGGCAGGCAUGCCUGUUCGAGCGUCAUUUCAACCAUCAAGCCCUAGGCUUGCGUUGGAGCCCUGCGGCUGCCGCAGGCCCCUAAAAGCAGUGGCGGGCUCGCUAUCACACCGAGUGCAGUAGAUUACUCUUCGCUCAGGGCGUGUGGCGGGUUCCAGCCGUGAAACCCCCCACUGUAACCCCAAAGGUUGACCUCGGAUCAGGUAGGAAUACCCGCUGAACUUAAGCAUAUCAAUAAGCGGAGGA
This 339-nucleotide unclassified non-coding RNA is filed under the name soil metagenome. RNAcentral describes it as "partial contains 5.8S ribosomal RNA, internal transcribed spacer 2, and large subunit ribosomal RNA". The stretch from base 1 to 120 matches the Rfam family "5.8S ribosomal RNA", at positions 35 to 154 of the family's 154-position model. The record is from RNAcentral.